Molecule: ribosomal RNA, 225 nt
Filed under: uncultured Lactobacillus sp.
Lineage: Bacteria; Bacillati; Bacillota; Bacilli; Lactobacillales; Lactobacillaceae
Description: partial 16S ribosomal RNA
Rfam family: Bacterial small subunit ribosomal RNA
Source: RNAcentral
CGGGAGUAACAACCUGGAAACAGAUGCUAAUACCGGAUAAUAACAGAUGAUGCCUAUCAACUGUUUAAAAGAUGGUUCUGCUAUCACUCUUGGAUGGACCUGCGGUGCAUUAGCUAGUUGGUAGGGUAACGGCCUACCAAGGCGAUGAUGCAUAGCCGAGUUGAGAGACUGAUCGGCCACAUUGGGACUGAGACACGGCCCAAACUCCUACGGGAGGCAGCAGGU